AUUGAACGCUGGCGGCGUGCUUAACACAUGCAAGUCGAGCGGUAACAGGCGUAGCAAUACGUGCUGACGAGCGGCGAACGGGUGAGUAAUGCUUCGGAAUCUUCCUCGUAGUGGGGAAUAACCUGGGGAAACUCAGGCUAAUACCGCAUACGAACUACGGUUGAAAGCAGGGGAUCGCAAGACCUUGCGCUAUGAGAUGAGCCGAAGUCGGAUUAGCUAGUUGGUGAGGUAACGGCUCACCAAGGCGACGAUCCGUAGCUGGUCUGAGAGGACGACCAGCCACACUGGGACUGAGACACGGCCCAGACUCCUACGGGAGGCAGCAGUGGGGAAUAUUGGACAAUAGGGGCAACCCUGAUCCAGCGACGCCGCGUGUGUGAAGAAGGCCGUGCGGGUUGUAAAGCACUUUAGUUGGGAGUGAAAGA
This 425-nucleotide ribosomal RNA is filed under the name uncultured bacterium. RNAcentral describes it as "bacterial SSU rRNA". It matches the Rfam family "Bacterial small subunit ribosomal RNA", at positions 30 to 452 of the family's 1533-position model. The record is from RNAcentral.